Molecule: ribosomal RNA, 253 nt
Filed under: uncultured bacterium
Lineage: Bacteria
Description: partial 16S ribosomal RNA
Rfam family: Bacterial small subunit ribosomal RNA
Source: RNAcentral
UACAGAGGGUGCGAACGUUGCUCGGAAUUACUGGGCGUAAAGCGCGUGUAGGCGGAUUGCUAAGUCGGGCGUGAAAGCCCCAGGCUCAACCUGGGAACUGCGCUCGAAACUGGCAGUCUCGAGUAUCGGAGAGGGCGGCGGAAUUCCUGGUGUAGAGGUGAAAUUCGUAGAUAUCAGGAGGAACACCGGUGGCGAAGGCGGCCGCCUGGACGAUUACUGACGCUGAGACGCGAAAGCGUGGGGAGCAAACAGG